Molecule: ribosomal RNA, 394 nt
Filed under: uncultured bacterium
Lineage: Bacteria
Description: partial 16S ribosomal RNA
Rfam family: Bacterial small subunit ribosomal RNA
Source: RNAcentral
AUACGUAGGUGGCAAGCGUUAUCCGGAUUUACUGGGCGUAAAGGGUGCGUAGGUGGUUUCUUAAGUCAGGAGUGAAAGGCUACGGCUCAACCGUAGUAAGCUCUUGAAACUGGGAAACUUGAGUGCAGGAGAGGAAAGUGGAAUUCCUAGUGUAGCGGUGAAAUGCGUAGAUAUUAGGAGGAACACCAGUAGCGAAGGCGGCUUUCUGGACUGUAACUGACACUGAGGCACGAAAGCGUGGGGAGCAAACAGGAUUAGAUACCCUGGUAGUCCACGCCGUAAACGAUGAGUACUAGGUGUCGGGGGUUACCCCCCUCGGUGCCGCAGCUAACGCAUUAAGUACUCCGCCUGGGGAGUACGGUGGCAACACUGAAACUCAAAUGAAUUGACGGGG